This 2920-nucleotide ribosomal RNA is filed under the name Staphylococcus aureus subsp. aureus CIG1500. RNAcentral's name for it is "bacterial LSU rRNA". It matches the Rfam family "Bacterial large subunit ribosomal RNA". The record is from RNAcentral. Lineage: Bacteria; Bacillati; Bacillota; Bacilli; Caryophanales; Staphylococcaceae.
UUAAGUUAUUAAGGGCGCACGGUGGAUGCCUUGGCACUAGAAGCCGAUGAAGGACGUUACUAACGACGAUAUGCUUUGGGGAGCUGUAAGUAAGCUUUGAUCCAGAGAUUUCCGAAUGGGGAAACCCAGCAUGAGUUAUGUCAUGUUAUCGAUAUGUGAAUACAUAGCAUAUCAGAAGGCACACCCGGAGAACUGAAACAUCUUAGUACCCGGAGGAAGAGAAAGAAAAUUCGAUUCCCUUAGUAGCGGCGAGCGAAACGGGAAGAGCCCAAACCAACAAGCUUGCUUGUUGGGGUUGUAGGACACUCUAUACGGAGUUACAAAGGACGACAUUAGACGAAUCAUCUGGAAAGAUGAAUCAAAGAAGGUAAUAAUCCUGUAGUCGAAAAUGUUGUCUCUCUUGAGUGGAUCCUGAGUACGACGGAGCACGUGAAAUUCCGUCGGAAUCUGGGAGGACCAUCUCCUAAGGCUAAAUACUCUCUAGUGACCGAUAGUGAACCAGUACCGUGAGGGAAAGGUGAAAAGCACCCCGGAAGGGGAGUGAAAUAGAACCUGAAACCGUGUGCUUACAAGUAGUCAGAGCCCGUUAAUGGGUGAUGGCGUGCCUUUUGUAGAAUGAACCGGCGAGUUACGAUUUGAUGCAAGGUUAAGCAGUAAAUGUGGAGCCGUAGCGAAAGCGAGUCUGAAUAGGGCGUUUAGUAUUUGGUCGUAGACCCGAAACCAGGUGAUCUACCCUUGGUCAGGUUGAAGUUCAGGUAACACUGAAUGGAGGACCGAACCGACUUACGUUGAAAAGUGAGCGGAUGAACUGAGGGUAGCGGAGAAAUUCCAAUCGAACCUGGAGAUAGCUGGUUCUCUCCGAAAUAGCUUUAGGGCUAGCCUCAAGUGAUGAUUAUUGGAGGUAGAGCACUGUUUGGACGAGGGGCCCCUCUCGGGUUACCGAAUUCAGACAAACUCCGAAUGCCAAUUAAUUUAACUUGGGAGUCAGAACAUGGGUGAUAAGGUCCGUGUUCGAAAGGGAAACAGCCCAGACCACCAGCUAAGGUCCCAAAAUAUAUGUUAAGUGGAAAAGGAUGUGGCGUUGCCCAGACAACUAGGAUGUUGGCUUAGAAGCAGCCAUCAUUUAAAGAGUGCGUAAUAGCUCACUAGUCGAGUGACACUGCGCCGAAAAUGUACCGGGGCUAAACAUAUUACCGAAGCUGUGGAUUGUCCUUUGGACAAUGGUAGGAGAGCGUUCUAAGGGCGUUGAAGCAUGAUCGUAAGGACAUGUGGAGCGCUUAGAAGUGAGAAUGCCGGUGUGAGUAGCGAAAGACGGGUGAGAAUCCCGUCCACCGAUUGACUAAGGUUUCCAGAGGAAGGCUCGUCCGCUCUGGGUUAGUCGGGUCCUAAGCUGAGGCCGACAGGCGUAGGCGAUGGAUAACAGGUUGAUAUUCCUGUACCACCUAUAAUCGUUUUAAUCGAUGGGGGGACGCAGUAGGAUAGGCGAAGCGUGCGAUUGGAUUGCACGUCUAAGCAGUAAGGCUGAGUAUUAGGCAAAUCCGGUACUCAUUAAGGCUGAGCUGUGAUGGGGAGAAGACAUUGUGUCUUCGAGUCGUUGAUUUCACACUGCCGAGAAAAGCCUCUAGAUAGAAAAUAGGUGCCCGUACCGCAAACCGACACAGGUAGUCAAGAUGAGAAUUCUAAGGUGAGCGAGCGAACUCUCGUUAAGGAACUCGGCAAAAUGACCCCGUAACUUCGGGAGAAGGGGUGCUCUUUAGGGGUUAACGCCCAGAAGAGCCGCAGUGAAUAGGCCCAAGCGACUGUUUAUCAAAAACACAGGUCUCUGCUAAACCGUAAGGUGAUGUAUAGGGGCUGACGCCUGCCCGGUGCUGGAAGGUUAAGAGGAGUGGUUAGCUUCUGCGAAGCUACGAAUCGAAGCCCCAGUAAACGGCGGCCGUAACUAUAACGGUCCUAAGGUAGCGAAAUUCCUUGUCGGGUAAGUUCCGACCCGCACGAAAGGCGUAACGAUUUGGGCACUGUCUCAACGAGAGACUCGGUGAAAUCAUAGUACCUGUGAAGAUGCAGGUUACCCGCGACAGGACGGAAAGACCCCGUGGAGCUUUACUGUAGCCUGAUAUUGAAAUUCGGCACAGCUUGUACAGGAUAGGUAGGAGCCUUUGAAACGUGAGCGCUAGCUUACGUGGAGGCGCUGGUGGGAUACUACCCUAGCUGUGUUGGCUUUCUAACCCGCACCACUUAUCGUGGUGGGAGACAGUGUCAGGCGGGCAGUUUGACUGGGGCGGUCGCCUCCUAAAAGGUAACGGAGGCGCUCAAAGGUUCCCUCAGAAUGGUUGGAAAUCAUUCAUAGAGUGUAAAGGCAUAAGGGAGCUUGACUGCGAGACCUACAAGUCGAGCAGGGUCGAAAGACGGACUUAGUGAUCCGGUGGUUCCGCAUGGAAGGGCCAUCGCUCAACGGAUAAAAGCUACCCCGGGGAUAACAGGCUUAUCUCCCCCAAGAGUUCACAUCGACGGGGAGGUUUGGCACCUCGAUGUCGGCUCAUCGCAUCCUGGGGCUGUAGUCGGUCCCAAGGGUUGGCUGUUCGCCCAUUAAAGCGGUACGCGAGCUGGGUUCAGAACGUCGUAGAGACAGUUCGGUCCCUAUCCGUCGUGGGCUAGGAAUUUGAGAGGAGCUGUCCUUAGUACGAGAGGACCGGGAUGGACAUACCUCUGGUGUACCAGUUGUCGUGCCAACGGCAUAGCUGGGUAGCUAUGUGUGGACGGGAUAAGUGCUGAAAGCAUCUAAGCAUGAAGCCCCCCUCAAGAUGAGAUUUCCCAACUUCGGUUAUAAGAUCCCUCAAAGAUGAUGAGGUUAAUAGGUUCGAGGUGGAAGCAUGGUGACAUGUGGAGCUGACGAAUACUAAUCGAUCGAAGACUUAAUCAA